Molecule: ribosomal RNA, 482 nt
Filed under: Bacillus sp. (in: firmicutes)
Lineage: Bacteria; Bacillati; Bacillota; Bacilli; Caryophanales; Bacillaceae
Description: bacterial SSU rRNA
Rfam family: Bacterial small subunit ribosomal RNA
Source: RNAcentral
ACGCCGCGUGAGUGAUGAAGGUUUUCGGAUCGUAAAGCUCUGUUGUUAGGGAAGAACAAGUGCGAGAGUAACUGCUCGCACCUUGACGGUACCUAACCAGAAAGCCACGGCUAACUACGUGCCAGCAGCCGCGGUAAUACGUAGGUGGCAAGCGUUGUCCGGAAUUAUUGGGCGUAAAGGGCUCGCAGGCGGUUUCUUAAGUCUGAUGUGAAAGCCCCCGGCUCAACCGGGGAGGGUCAUUGGAAACUGGGAAACUUGAGUGCAGAAGAGGAGAGUGGAAUUCCACGUGUAGCGGUGAAAUGCGUAGAGAUGUGGAGGAACACCAGUGGCGAAGGCGACUCUCUGGUCUGUAACUGACGCUGAGGAGCGAAAGCGUGGGGAGCGAACAGGAUUAGAUACCCUGGUAGUCCACGCCGUAAACGAUGAGUGCUAAGUGUUAGGGGGUUUCCGCCCCUUAGUGCUGCAGCUAACGCAUUAAGCAC